GGGGACAUAGCUCAGUGGUAGAGCGCUUGCUUUGCAUGCUAGAGGUCUGGGGUUCAAACCCCCAUGUCUCCA
This 72-nucleotide transfer RNA is filed under the name Haematococcus lacustris. Its description in RNAcentral is "Haematococcus pluvialis tRNA". It matches the Rfam family "tRNA". Rfam says of the family: Transfer RNA (tRNA) molecules are approximately 80 nucleotides in length. Their secondary structure includes four short double-helical elements and three loops (D, anti-codon, and T loops). The record is from Rfam by way of RNAcentral. Lineage: Eukaryota; Viridiplantae; Chlorophyta; Chlorophyceae; Chlamydomonadales; Haematococcaceae.